ACGGGUGAGUAACACGUGGGUAACCUGCCUGUAAGACUGGGAUAACUCCGGGAAACCGGGGCUAAUACCGGAUGGUUGUUUGAACCGCAUGGUUCAGACAUAAAAGGUGGCUUCGGCUACCACUUACAGAUGGACCCGCGGCGCAUUAGCUAGUUGGUGAGGUAACGGCUCACCAAGGCGACGAUGCGUAGCCGACCUGAGAGGGUGAUCGGCCACACUGGGACUGAGACACGGCCCAGACUCCUACGGGAGGCAGCAGUAGGGAAUCUUCCGCAAUGGACGAAAGUCUGACGGAGCAACGCCGCGUGAGUGAUGAAGGUUUUCGGAUCGUAAAGCUCUGUUGUUAGGGAAGAACAAGUGCCGUUCAAAUAGGGCGGCACCUUGACGGUACCUAACCAGAAAGCCACGGCUAACUACGUGCCAGCAGCCGCGGUAAUACGUAGGUGGCAAGCGUUGUCCGGAAUUAUUGGGCGUAAAGGGCUCGCAGGCGGUUUCUUAAGUCUGAUGUGAAAGCCCCCGGCUCAACCGGGGAGGGUCAUUGGAAACUGGGGAACUUGAGUGCAGAAGAGGAGAGUGGAAUUCCACGUGUAGCGGUGAAAUGCGUAGAGAUGUGGAGGAACACCAGUGGCGAAGGCGACUCUCUGGUCUGUAACUGACGCUGAGGAGCGAAAGCGUGGGGAGCGAACAGGAUUAGAUACCCUGGUAGUCCACGCCGUAAACGAUGAGUGCUAAGUGUUAGGGGGUUUCCGCCCCUUAGUGCUGCAGCUAACGCAUUAAGCACUCCGCCUGGGGAGUACGGUCGCAAGACUGAAACUCAAAGGAAUUGACGGGGGCCCGCACAAGCGGUGGAGCAUGUGGUUUAAUUCGAAGCAACGCGAAGAACCUUACCAGGUCUUGACAUCCUCUGACAAUCCUAGAGAUAGGACGUCCCCUUCGGGGGCAGAGUGACAGGUGGUGCAUGGUUGUCGUCAGCUCGUGUCGUGAGAUGUUGGGUUAAGUCCCGCAACGAGCGCAACCCUUGAUCUUAGUUGCCAGCAUUCAGUUGGGCACUCUAAGGUGACUGCCGGUGACAAACCGGAGGAAGGUGGGGAUGACGUCAAAUCAUCAUGCCCCUUAUGACCUGGGCUACACACGUGCUACAAUGGACAGAACAAAGGGCAGCGAAACCGCGAGGUUAAGCCAAUCCCACAAAUCUGUUCUCAGUUCGGAUCGCAGUCUGCAACUCGACUGCGUGAAGCGGAAUCGCUAGUAAUCGCGGAUCAGCAUGCCGC
This 1271-nucleotide ribosomal RNA is filed under the name Bacillus amyloliquefaciens. Its description in RNAcentral is "bacterial SSU rRNA". It matches the Rfam family "Bacterial small subunit ribosomal RNA", at positions 102 to 1360 of the family's 1533-position model. The record is from RNAcentral. Lineage: Bacteria; Bacillati; Bacillota; Bacilli; Caryophanales; Bacillaceae.